GGAGUCGCCCGGGGCAGACGUGGGGCUCUUGCCGUGGGCGCGCAGGGCGGGAGGCCGGAGCACUGCUGCCUCGGAGGACGGCGCGGUGUUUCAGUAGAGUUUCUGAGGGAAAAGCUGAGGGUAACGCUGUCUGAGGGGGACAGUGAACAUUUUGGAAGGAAAAGCUGAGGCAAAGGAUCACCACCCUUGAAGACAAAAUCCAAGAAGCAGCCAAACAACUCUUGAAGUCAUGAGGUGGAAUGAGGAAAUAUUAACCAGUUCAUGUUCACCAGUACGCAAAGCCCCUCCUCAGCAAUGGAAAAGGACAAGAGAUCAUGGGUUAAAAAGUCACACGCCACCUCUGUCCCUAUCUGCUACCUGAAGACUCUGUCAGGUGUGUAGAGAUUGCAGAUCCAGGUCACAUCAGACCCAAGUGUGAUGAAAAUGUUCUCUCUUCUUCUAUCCCUAUUUUAUCAUCAAAAUCAAGUAUAUGAAAUUCAAGAUUACUUUUGUUUUCUUCUAUGAUGAGAUUAAGAAUUCAAAUUUAGGAAUCUUUCUCUCUGACAUACCAAUUGCAAUAAGCAAAUCAGCCAGAAAAAGCCGCUGUUACACACCAAGUCUUUAACUAAUCCUCCUUAGAACUAGAUCCUGCACAGAUAAUUCAAAACAACCUGUCCCACACACACCGAGUGGGGUGGCAGCUGCUUGGAGGGCUCCCCCUGUAACCAGGGGGUAUCUCUGGCCCCGGCCUUUCAGAGGUGUGGGGCCAGGUGUAUGCCCCCCCUGUUCUCGGGGCUGGGGCCCCGGCCCCCUGGCCUUUGGCCGUGAAGCUCCGCUGCCUGGCCGCCAAGUCUCAUUCCUGUUGCUGUGGGGGAAAGCCGAGCUCUGGGGCUCCCUGGGUGUCGACUUGCCUGUAAUCAGGUGGCGGGUCUGGGAGCCUUUUGCUCCACUGGCAGCCUGUGUGGGGCGACCCCCUCGCUUAGCGGGGCAGCCCCUGACUAUCGGAGAGAAGCAGCCUCCAUGGGCCUUCGGGACAAGGGCUGCCCUGUAAGGUGGGGACCAGCCAGCACCCUGGGGUCCCGGGCACUUUGCGGUCCAGGCAGUGGCUGGAGCCCCCUGGCAGGAGGGGUGUGGCAGCUCUUUGGCUGCUGCUUCACAUGCCCAGCUCAUUUGCCCAGGGACGCCUGCCUCCAAGCCCAGUUCCAGCACCAGCGGGAGCUGUGCUGUGUGUCAUCGCUUUGGUGAAAUAACUCUUGUUGUCUCCACAAAAAGGACAACUUUUUGGGUUUGGGUUGUGAGAUUUUCAUCAGAUACUUUUUUAGUGGACAUUCCUUUUGUGAUUGUUAUUUUCAGCAUGUUUCUGCGUUAGGUGUUUAACUGUGGGGAACUGGCGUAUUUUGUAUAAUGGAUGAUUGUUUCUGUGGGAGAACUCUUUUAGGUUGUUUGCUUUAUUUUGUGUGUCAAUUGGUUUGGUUUUAUUGCAGCCUCCUCACAGGGUUUAAAGUUUCUGGACCCAGUCCUCCAGAG
Long non-coding RNA from Falco peregrinus (peregrine falcon), 1506 nucleotides. RefSeq lists it as uncharacterized. The record is from RefSeq and is a predicted model, not a curated record. NCBI's taxonomy places the organism in Eukaryota, Metazoa, Chordata, Aves, Falconiformes, Falconidae. The transcript has 3 exons.